This 76-nucleotide transfer RNA is filed under the name Verrucomicrobiota bacterium. Its description in RNAcentral is "Verrucomicrobia bacterium (activated sludge metagenome) tRNA-Lys". It matches the Rfam family "tRNA". Rfam says of the family: Transfer RNA (tRNA) molecules are approximately 80 nucleotides in length. Their secondary structure includes four short double-helical elements and three loops (D, anti-codon, and T loops). Lineage: Bacteria; Pseudomonadati; Verrucomicrobiota. The record is from RNAcentral. RNAcentral also lists the same sequence under 1 other name.
GGGCCGGUAGCUCAGUCGGUAGAGCACGGGCCUUUUAAGCCUGUGGUCGUGGGUUCGAGUCCCACCCGGCUCACCA